Molecule: ribosomal RNA, 799 nt
Filed under: uncultured bacterium
Lineage: Bacteria
Description: bacterial SSU rRNA
Rfam family: Bacterial small subunit ribosomal RNA
Source: RNAcentral
AGAGUUUGAUCCUGGCUCAGAGUGAACGCUGGCGGCAGGCCUAACACAUGCAAGUCGAACGGCAGCACAGCAGUAGCAAUACUGUGGGUGGCGAGUGGCGGACGGGUGAGGAAUACAUCGGAAUCUACCUUGUCGUGGGGGAUAACGUAGGGAAACUUACGCUAAUACCGCAUACGAACYAUGGUUGAAAGCGGCGGACCGCAAGGCGUCGCGCGAUUGGAUGAGCCGAUGUCCGAUUAGCUAGUUGGCGGGGUAAAGGCCCACCAAGGCGACGAUCGGUAGCUGGUCUGAGAGGAUGAUCAGCCACACUGGAACUGAGACACGGUCCAGACUCCUACGGGAGGCAGCAGUGGGGAAUAUUGGACAAUGGGGGCAACCCUGAUCCAGCCAUGCCGCGUGUGUGAAGAAGGCCUUCGGGUUGUAAAGCACUUUUGUUGGGGAAGAAAAGCACUGGGCUAAUACCUUGGUGUCAUGACGGUACCCAAAGAAUAAGCACCGGCUAACUUCGUGCCAGCAGCCGCGGUAAUACGAAGGGUGCAAGCGUUACUCGGAAUUACUGGGCGUAAAGCGUGCGUAGGCGGUUUGUUAAGUCUGUCGUGAAAGCCCCGGGCUCAACCUGGGAAUGGCGAUGGAAACUGGCGAGCUAGAGUACGGUAGAGGAGAGUGGAAUUCCCGGUGUAGCAGUGAAAUGCGUAGAGAUCGGGAGGAACAUCAGUUGCGAAGGCGGCUCUCUGGACCAGUACUGACGCUGAGGCACGAAAGCGWGGGGAGCAAACAGGAUUAGAUACCCUGGUAGUCC